GACGUAGGUGGCGAACGUUAUCCGGAAUCAUUGGGCGUAAAGCGCGCGUAGGCGGCCCGGUAAGUCCGCUGUAAAAGUCCAGGGCUCAACCCUGGAACGCCGGUGGAUACUGUCGGGCUAGAGUCCGGAAGAGGCGAGUGGAAUUCCUGGUGUAGCGGUGGAAUGCGCAGAUAUCAGGAGGAACACCGAUGGCGAAGGCAGCUCGCUGGGACGGUACUGACGCUGAGGCGCGAAAGCGUGGGGAGCGAACAGG
Molecule: ribosomal RNA, 253 nt
Filed under: uncultured bacterium
Lineage: Bacteria
Description: partial 16S ribosomal RNA
Rfam family: Bacterial small subunit ribosomal RNA
Source: RNAcentral